Molecule: ribosomal RNA, 492 nt
Filed under: uncultured bacterium
Lineage: Bacteria
Description: partial 16S ribosomal RNA
Rfam family: Bacterial small subunit ribosomal RNA
Source: RNAcentral
AGUGAACGCUGGCGGUAGGCCUAACACAUGCAAGUCGAACGGCGGCACAGUAAGAGCUUGCUCUUACGGGUGGCGAGUGGCGGACGGGUGAGGAAUACAUCGGAAUCUACUUUUUCGUGGGGGAUAACGUAGGGAAACUUACGCUAAUACCGCAUACGACCUACGGGUGAAAGCAGGGGAUCUUCGGACCUUGCGCGAUUGAAUGAGCCGAUGUCGGAUUAGCUAGUUGGCGGGGUAAAGGCCCACCAAGGCGACGAUCCGUAGCUGGUCUGAGAGGAUGAUCAGCCACACUGGAACUGAGACACGGUCCAGACUCCUACGGGAGGCAGCAGUGGGGAAUAUUGGACAAUGGGCGCAAGCCUGAUCCAGCCAUACCGCGUGGGUGGAGAAGGCCUUCGGGUUGUAAAGCCCUUUUGUUGGGAAAGAAAAGCAGCAGGUUAAUACCCCGCUGUUCUGACGGUACCCAAAGAAUAAGCACCGGCUAACUUCGUG